GAUGAACGCUGGCGGCGUGCUUAACACAUGCAAGUCGAACGGUGAAGCAGGAGCUUGCUCUUGUGGAUCAGUGCCGAACGGGUGAGUAACACGUAAGCAACCUGCCCCUGACUCUGGGAUAAGCGCUGGAAACGGCGACUAAUACUGGAUAUGUGAUGUGACCGCAUGGUCUGCAUCUGGAAAGAAUUUCGGUUGGGGAUGGGCUCGCGGCCUAUCAGCUUGUUGGUGAGGUAAUGGCUCACCAAGGCGUCGACGGGUAGCCGGCCUGAGAGGGUGACCGGCCACACUGGGACUGAGACACGGCCCAGACUCCUACGGGAGGCAGCAGUGGGGAAUAUUGCACAAUGGGCGGAAGCCUGAUGCAGCAACGCCGCGUGAGGGAUGACGGCCUUCGGGUUGUAAACCUCUUUUAGCAGGGAAGAAGCGAAAGUGACGGUACCUGCAGAAAAAGCACCGGCUAACUACGUGCCAGCCGCCGCCGUAA
This 484-nucleotide ribosomal RNA is filed under the name uncultured bacterium. Its description in RNAcentral is "partial 16S ribosomal RNA". It matches the Rfam family "Bacterial small subunit ribosomal RNA", at positions 28 to 523 of the family's 1533-position model. The record is from RNAcentral.